This 459-nucleotide ribosomal RNA is filed under the name uncultured bacterium. Its description in RNAcentral is "partial 16S ribosomal RNA". It matches the Rfam family "Bacterial small subunit ribosomal RNA", at positions 338 to 795 of the family's 1533-position model. The record is from RNAcentral.
CCUACGGGAGGCAGCAGUGAGGAAUAUUGGUCAAUGGCCUAGAGGCUGAACCAGCCAAGUCGCGUUAGGGAAGACGGCCCUACGGGUUGUAAACCUCUUUUGUCGGGGCGCAAAGAGCGUCACGUGUGACUCAUUGAGAGUCACCGAAGAAAACGCAUCGGCUAACUCCGUGCCAGCAGCCGCGGUAAUCCUGGGGAUGCGAGCGUUAUACGGAUUUAUUGGGUUUAACGGGUGCGCAGGCGGAGGUGCAAGUCAGCGGUCAAGUUGCGGGGCUCAACCCCGUACUGCCGUUGAAACUGCAUCCCUUGAGUGCGCGAGAAGUAUGCGGAAUGCGUGGUGUAGCGGUGAAAUGCAUAGAUAUCACGCAGAACUCCGAUUGCGAAGGCAGCAUACCGGCGCGCAACUGACGCUCAUGCACGAAAGCGUGGGUAUCGAACAGGAUUAGAUACCCCAGUAGUC